GAUGAAGAACGUAGCGAAAUGCGAUAACUAGUGUGAAUUGCAGAAUUCCGUGAAUCAUCGAGUCUUUGAACGCACAUUGCGCCCCCUGGUAUUCCGGGGGGCAUGCCUGUCCGAGCGUCAUUGCUGCCCAUCAAGCACGGCUUGUGUGUUGGGUCGUCGUCCCCCCCUCCGGGGGGGGACGGGCCCUAAAGGCAGCGGCGGCACCGCGUCCGAUCCUCGAGCGUAUGGGGCUUUGUCACCCGCUCUGUAGGCCCGGCCGGCGCUUGCCGAACGCAAAACAACCAUUCUUUCCAGGUUGACCUCGGAUCAGGUAGGGAUACCCGCUGAACUUAAGCAUAUCAAUAAGCGAGGA
This 352-nucleotide unclassified non-coding RNA is filed under the name soil metagenome. Its description in RNAcentral is "partial contains 5.8S ribosomal RNA, internal transcribed spacer 2, and large subunit ribosomal RNA". The stretch from base 1 to 120 matches the Rfam family "5.8S ribosomal RNA", at positions 35 to 154 of the family's 154-position model. The record is from RNAcentral.